This is a long non-coding RNA of Oncorhynchus gorbuscha (pink salmon), 1064 nucleotides long. RefSeq lists it as uncharacterized. The record is from RefSeq and is a predicted model, not a curated record. The transcript has 3 exons. Lineage: Eukaryota; Metazoa; Chordata; Actinopteri; Salmoniformes; Salmonidae.
AGGCUGGGUUUCUGUACAGCACUUUGAGAUAUCAGCUGGUGUACGAAGGGCUAUAUAAAUACAUUUGAUUUGAUUUGAUACAGCCUGACGGGAGCCCUACUUCCUUGUCCAAUUGCGUUCCCACCCUCGAAAGCGGGCUUUUCAAAACGGGGGCGGUAUUAGUUUCUACGCGAGAGUUAUGUUACAGGACGAAUAUUUAGUUUUUGAAUAUUCUUUUACAUAAGAAACACAGCCCUAUUUAUUUGAGCCGGAAUACACUGAAGAGGAGUUGUGACAACGAGAAAAAUAAUUGCAAGACCAGCAAGCCGCUGCUCCUGACUCUGGGGAGCCACGGUCAGAUAACGACUGGUGGUGCUUAUGCGGGUGCUGUCCAGCCAUGUCGACAAAGGAGGAAUGUCUGUGCUGCAACAAAUUAGAUCGCGGACAGAUCUUACUGGAGAGGGUCACUGCAGACCCCAUGGAUCACAUACGUGUGACAGACCAACGAAGUUUCGACACACGGAUAGAGGGAUGCUGGAGACGUUCUUCAGAAGCUCCUAGACCAACUGGGCCAGCAGGAGAGCAAAUGACAAACAAACAAUGCCGCUUGGAUACAAAGAAGUUGAUGACUGAAGAGAUGUGAAAUGUCCCAUAACAACAAUCUCCCCUUGUAACAAAGUGACUCCGAACACCUCACUGCACCACCCAAACACACCAAAGGCAAGCUCCAGAAUAUUCUUCAGCUGGUGAAUCUCAUCUGGUAUUGGGUAAUGGCAGCUGUUCUAGCAGGCUUUGGCACUGUGGAAAUGUUGGCAGGGAUGUUGGGUUUGGGGAGCUGUAACUCUGGCUCCUUCAAGAGAACAGUCGGGUCCUUUCUGCACUCCAUAGCCAGCUGGACAAGCCUCUCCCUGAAGUGUUGGGUUCUGAGCUCGUGGAAAGACAUGAAGACUGAUAAUGAAGAAGUGUAACCGUACAAGAAAUCAUGUUAAUAUGUAAACCAAAAAGAAUACAUGAGACUGGAAUGUGCUUUGUUAAAAGGAUAUGAACUGAAAAAUCUGAGAAAUAAAUGAAAAUGUAAGACUCCA